Molecule: ribosomal RNA, 317 nt
Filed under: uncultured bacterium
Lineage: Bacteria
Description: bacterial SSU rRNA
Rfam family: Bacterial small subunit ribosomal RNA
Source: RNAcentral
GACGAACGCUGACGGUGUGCCUUAGACAUGCAAGUCGAACGAGAAAGCCCUUCGGGGUUAGUAAAGUGGCGAACGGGUGAGUAACACGUGGGCAAUCUGCCCCUCGCAGGGGGACAACCGGAGGAAACCCCGGCUAAUACCCCGUAAGUUCAAAGGGAGGCAUCUCCCUUCGAAGAAAGGUAGCUUCGGCCAUCCGGCGAGGGAUGAGCCCGCGGUGCAUUAGCUAGUUGGUGGGGUAACGCCCACCAAGGCGACGAUGCAUAGCUGGUCUGAGAGGAUGAUCAGCCACACUGGGACUGAGACACGGCCCAGACUCC